This 331-nucleotide ribosomal RNA is filed under the name uncultured Lactobacillus sp. RNAcentral describes it as "bacterial SSU rRNA". It matches the Rfam family "Bacterial small subunit ribosomal RNA", at positions 202 to 524 of the family's 1533-position model. Lineage: Bacteria; Bacillati; Bacillota; Bacilli; Lactobacillales; Lactobacillaceae. The record is from RNAcentral.
UAGGUUCUGCUAUCACUCUUGGGAUGGACCUGCGGUGCAUUAGCUAGUUGGUAAGGCAACGGCUUACCAAGGCAAUGAUGCAUAGCCCGAGUUGAGAGACUGAUCGGCCACAUUGGGACUGAGACACGGCCCAAACUCCUACGGGAGGCAGCAGUAGGGAAUCUUCCACAAUGGACGCAAGUCUGAUGGAGCAACGCCGCGUGAGUGAAGAAGGGUUUCGGCUCGUAAAGCUCUGUUGGUAGUGAAGAAAGAUAGAGGUAGUAACUGGCCUUUAUUUGACGGUAAUUACUUAGAAAGUCACGGCUAACUACGUGCCAGCAGCCGCGGUAAU